CAUAUGCAGCUAGCGCCUGGACCGGUUCUGGCCGGUUGACGAGGAGAAAGGUUAUCGAAAGAUUCGGCGGAUGCCUUUCCGGCCGCUUAACCACGGUCGUUACAUUUGCCUGUAAAACCCGCGGGUAACCGCGAAACAGAGGGUAGAUGCUGGUGAAA
RNAcentral lists this non-coding RNA (158 nucleotides) under Ethanoligenens harbinense. Its description in RNAcentral is "GlcN6P sequence". It matches the Rfam family "glmS glucosamine-6-phosphate activated ribozyme aptamer". Rfam says of the family: This entry contains a glucosamine-6-phosphate activated ribozyme that is found in the mRNA for GlmS. The record is from RNAcentral. Lineage: Bacteria; Bacillati; Bacillota; Clostridia; Eubacteriales; Oscillospiraceae. RNAcentral also lists the same sequence under 1 other name.